RNAcentral lists this long non-coding RNA (31755 nucleotides) under Malus domestica (apple). RNAcentral's name for it is "long non-coding RNA (MDOM_LNC008273)". The stretch from base 12886 to 12944 matches the Rfam family "tRNA", at positions 8 to 63 of the family's 71-position model. The record is from RNAcentral. Lineage: Eukaryota; Viridiplantae; Streptophyta; Magnoliopsida; Rosales; Rosaceae.
UGAGAAGUUGAAGAAGAUGCUUAGUGCAAAUCCUAUGGUACCUUUGAAUAUAGAGUGUUUAAUGGAAGAAAAGGAUGUUAGGGGAAUUAUUAAGCGGGAUGAAUUUGAGCAGAUUAGUAUUCCUAUUUUGGAACGUGUGAAGGGACCUUUGGAGAAGGCCCUUCUUGAUGCACAGCUUUCAAUAGAGGACAUUCACACAGUUGAGGUUGUUGGUUCAGGCUCUCGUGUUCCUGCUAUAAUCAAGAUAUUGACAGAUUUCUUCAAAAAGGAGCCUAGGCGAACUAUGAAUGCAAGUGAGUGCGUUGCCAGGGGUUGUGCUUUGCAAUGUGCAAUUCUUAGUCCAACAUUCAAAGUUAGAGAGUUUCAGGUGAGUUUAACUCUUGCUUUGUCGGUGAAUUUGUUUCCAUUAGUUGAACCAAUCUGUAUAUUGUCUGACCUGCUGGCUUUUGCAAAAAAUUAUGUUUUGUUAUUAACUAAUGCUAUCCCAUUUAAUAUGAAGGUUAAUGAGAGCUUCCCAUUUUCAAUUUCCUUGUCCUGGAAAGGUUCUGGUCCAGACGCUCAGAAUGGAGCAGCUGAGAACAACCAGAAUACCCUUGUUUUCCCCAAGGGAAAUCCUAUCCCAAGUAUCAAGGCCCUUACAUUUUACAGAUCGAGCACUUUUUCAGUUGAUGUCCAGUAUGCUGAUGUUAGUGAUUUGCAGGCACCUGCAAAAAUCAGCACAUAUACGGUGAGUGAAUAUUGAAUCUUAAACUUGUGCACUCUAAUUUCUGUCAACGCUAUUAGGUCAUCUGCCAGAUAUUUCCUAACAUUCUACUACACUAUACAUGUGCAGAUUGGUCCUUUCCCGUCUGUUAAAAGUGAGCGAGCAAAACUAAAGGUCAAAGCUCGCCUAAAUCUGCAUGGGAUUGUGUCUGUAGACUCAGCAACUGUAAGAUUGUUAAAAGCAUUUUGUGCUUCUAGAUGUCUUUGGUUGAUUAUCUUUCUAACUCUAUUUGUUUUUCUUCACGUGCUGUAGCUUUUGGAAGAAGAAGAAAUUGAGGUUCCUGUCACAAAAGAGCAAACAAAGGAGGCUGCUAAGAUGGAGACUGAUGAGGCACCCAGUGAUGUGGCUCCCCCAAGUACCGAAGAGACUGAUGUUAGCAUGCAAGAUGCUAAGGACACUGCUGAUGCUCCAGGUGCUGAAAAUGUUGUUCCCGAGUCCGGGGAAAAGCCUGCGCAAAUGGAAACUGAUGCGAAGGUCAGUCGUCAUGAUUCAUGUGUUUUUUCCAUUUGUUAUUUUCGUGGACCGCAACAUUUGUGUUUUUUUUUUUGGGGGGGGGGGCAAUAGUGCUUAGCUACUCAAUUUGAGUCAGUUAUAUGUGGGACUAAGGAAAUGAAUGACUUAUGCCUAACUUUCUACACUUUGCUGUGAUAUAGUCCACUUGUGCUAAGCUUUUCCGUGAUCAUUCUUUUCAUGUUCAAUCACGUUAACUAUAGGGAAGGGUUGGCAAAAGUCAUCAUAAUCUUUUAACCCAUAAUCUACAUUUAAUGUCACUACAGAGAAGAGAAAGGAUGAUGGACUGUACUGAGUGUUGUUUAAAAAUUCAGUUUUGGAAUGGUCAAAUGCUAUCAGUGGUUUUAUUUGGUUCUAUUUGUGGGUUCUGUACUCUUAAUGUCUUGGUUUUUGCGAUGCAGGCUGAUGCUAAAAAGAUAAAGGUAAGGAAAACAAACAUUCCUGUGACAGAGUUAGUUUAUGGAGGGAUGCCACUAAAUGAAGUGCAGAAGGCAAUUGAGAAGGAGUUUGAAAUGGCCUUACAAGACCGUGUUAUGGAAGAAACAAAAGACAAGAAAAAUGCUGUCGAGGCAUACGUCUAUGACAUGAGAAACAAGGUAGUUUGCUUGUAUGUUCGCAACACAUUUUCCUUUUUAUUUUACCAUUUUUUUUUUUUACUAAAUUUCUCUUUUGUAUUGCCAGCUCAAUGACAAGUAUCAUGAAUUUGUCACUGAAUCUGAGAGGGAAGCGUUUAUUGCUAGACUUCAGGAGGUGGAGGACUGGCUGUAUGAAGAUGGUGAAGACGAAACCAAAGGAGUUUACAUUGCCAAACUUGAGGAGCUGAAGAAGGUGAGGAUUUUCUUCUUUUUAAUGUGUUUUGGUGCGAAGUUCUCUGUUUUCUCUUGUCCAACUUGAUGUCGUUGGUUUUGAUUCUUUUGAGCAUCGGUGGUUUUUUCAAAUUGCAGCAAGGUGACCCCAUUGAAGAGCGAGUCAAGGAGCAUGCGGAGAGGGGAACAGUGGUUGAUCAACUUGCUUACUGUGUCAAUAGUUACAGAGAAGCUGCAGCAUCAAAUGAUGCAAAAUUUGAACACAUUGAUCUGGCCGAUAAACAGAAGGUAAGGGACUCGAUGAGCUGUCUUCCCCUUCCCCAGUCUCCACCUUUUCAACUCACAAUAUUCUUUUUGUGUUGUUUAGGUAUUGCACGAGUGUGUUGAAGCCGAGGCCUGGUUAAGAGAGAAAAAGCAACAACAGGAUCUGCUCCCCAAAUAUGCCAACCCAGUACUCUUAUCAGCUGAUGUGAGACGGAAGGCUGAAGCAGUUGACAGGUACUAUUUCUUGCAUGGAUAAAUUUGUUUUCUUUGGUUAGUUGACGAACUGGUUGUCUUAGACAACAAGAACCUAUUGCUUAUUCAUAAAGUCUUUUGGAAGCCUUUGGGAUAUCUGACAGUGGUAACCUUUUCUUAUAUCCACUUUUGUUGACAGGUACUGCAGACCGAUAAUGACGAAACCCAAACCAGCACCAGCCAAGCCCGCUGCUCCUGAAACUCCACCAACCCCACCUCCUCAGGGAAGUGAGCAACCUCAGGGCAGAGAUGCAGAUGCCAAUCCCGGCCCCAUGGAGAAUCCUGCUGAUGGCGACAAUGAGGCCCCACAGGCUACUACAGAACCAAUGGAAACCGACAAGCCAGAAGCUCCACAAAGUUCUGCGUAGUUCUGUAGAGUAUCCGCCUUUCUAUGGUUCUUAUGGCGUUUCAUUUGAUUCUUUAGCAUAAUACACUUCCAUUUUGAGCCUUAAAACACGGUUUGGACGGAGAGGGAGAGGCCCGUGGUGUGCUAAAUGGAUGAUAUACCUCUAGGUGUAAAGCCUUUUAUCUGCUUGUGGUCUGUCAGUUUUUAAUUAUUGGUACAAUCGGUCUCUAGAAUUCCGGGUUUUUUGAAGAGAAGUUUUGCCCUCGGGGUCUCUUUCCCCCCUUAUGAUGGGAUGGAGACCGAUUCGUUUUCAUUCUAAUCUUGUUUUACAUAUGUCAUUGAUACUCUUUCUUCCUAUAUCUUUGAACUUAUCUCCAAAAUUGCUCGAUUUUGUUCUGCGAAUUUUGCAUUGAUGCUCUUGAGGACAGGUUUUGAAUUUUAUAGUAGCAUUUUGUUGGCAUACGAAUAUAUGCGUCAAGGUUCUUCGUCGGUGCAACAUUCAGUGCGCCUUCGUUGACGCCCGGUGGAAGUGUGGGUUUAGGUCUGAGACUGGCUUUUCGAUUUCCGUUCUCACCGGCAAAGAUGAGGACUGAUAUGAUAGAUGAAGCACAUUCCUUGCUUAAAGUCAUGGAAGAAAACGACCUAAACUCACAUAAUAUCAUUUUUAACGGCUUGGCUAGGAUGGGUGGCCCAAAUCAAGCUUUGGAAAUGUUUGCCAAAACGAAGCAUUCUAAGAUUGAACCGGAUGCAGUUACUUAUAACACUAUUCUUGGUCGUCUAAGCUGAGCUGGUUUGCUUGAAGAGGCUGCAAAGCUGAUGAAAGGGAUUCGACAGGAUUUGAAUAUGAUCUCAAUACUUACUCAUCAAUUCUUGAGGCGGUUGGCAAGGUCGAUGAUAUUCAUAAGUCUUCCUUAAUGGCACUACAUACAGCCGGUUUUAAUCAUUGUUUAGAAUUUAGGAUGGUUGGAGACUUUCUUAAGAACAAGCAGAGUGUGAACUCACUCAUGAGUGACUAAUUCUUUCGCAGGUCAUACACCCUAUUAAUUGACAGCUUAGCAGCAUUGCAUCCUAUAGAUUUUUAGUAUCGUCGAGGUUGGGAACUUGGCAAAGAAAGGAAAAAACUACUGGUCGUUAUAAAGACGAUGCGUUAUAGAACUUCCUCUUGUACCGAAAUUGGAAAAGAUGCCACCCUACGACCUGAAUAAGGGUUGCGGUUUGGCUUCAUAAUCUGCACAGCCUCAUGUUACUUAUCCAAGAGCUGGACAAAUUCAGCUCAUUACUGCUGAAAAGGGUAGCAAUUUUGAUGCUCCUCAUUAAGCCAUCUAACGUUCCAAACCAUGUAUUUGCAAUUUUUCGUAUUCGAGCUAUCUACACUCCCAACUAAAUAUUUACAAUUUUUUGUGCUCUCACAAGUGUGGAGUGUAGCCGGCUGCCCAAGGAGUGUUAGAAAAACAAGCCUUUCAAACAUCACUUACUCCUUAAUUUUCGUCUUUGAUGACCAUUUGGUUUUUAGUUUUUAUUUUUUGUGCUAAAGAUAUAAAAGAAAUAGAUGGGAGAAAUGAAGAACAGAAAAGGAUGAAGGGAGGUGGUGAAAGGGAGAACUCAAAGAUGUUAUAUGAAAUCGCAUCAUUACAUAUACGUUCCUUUCAUAUUUUUUCACCGUCACUCUCUCUCCCAUGUAUCUAUAACACGAAUGAAAACUAAUAACUAAAAAUUAAAAACGAAAUUGUUAUUUGAUAGGCCCUUAUCAUAUUACCCCAAUCCCAGUAGUAAUACGAAAUAUUUAAUUUCUAAUUACCAUAUCUGAUACAAAAUCAACAACUUAUUUCCUCAAAAGAAAUAUAAAGGGGAUAACGUCUUCCCCAAUUGAUACAACAGCUUGCAGUUAACAUAAUCCAUUAAUAUUACAGAUAGAUACCGAUAUUACCCGCUAGCAUUUUUGGCAGAGUUAUCAUUCUCCUCGUCAUCGUCCUGCCAUAUUUUCGCUAUCUCAGCCUGCGCUAUCUCCAUAAUCUGCCUCUUAUGCAGUUCAAGUCUCUGUGGCAAUCCAUUCUCAUCUUCUCUAGUUCCACCAUUUGCUUCCUUUUACUAUUUUCAAUCUUCUCAUGUAUGUCGCUGAACUUUUGAAUGGAAUCAGCAAGCAAUCUAAAGGAACCCCGAUCAUCAUUCUCCCUUCCAUACCUUCUCGUCUUGGGUGGUAGCCCAUCUGAAUCGUCAUCCCCUCCCUCAGCUGAUUCAGAAUUCCCUGGACUAUCCCUCAUCUCAUCCAACCCAUUUGCACGGUUUAAAUACAUUUUAGGGUUCAUGAAAACAUACUCCCCUGAGUCCAAACCACAAGAGAGGCCGGCUUGCUGUUGUAAUGAUGACAUAAACAUAUCCAUCUUUGUGAAGUAAACCCACUUACUAGUGGCACCACUAGACUUUGCGAACUUGGCCCUCUCCUUCUUGUACUUUUUCUUCAACCUAUCCAACUGAUUGCGACAUUGUGUGUCUGUCUUUUCAAUCUUGGACACCUCUGAUACUUUCUCUGCAACCUCUUGCCACUCCUCAGAGCGAAGACUCUUUUUUCCACGUUGAAGGAACCGGUCACCCCAAGCAUCUAGUAACACAAAGUCUCACGUUCAAUCCAAUCUGUAAGCACAUUUCGACCACCAAUUGAUUGUCUUGGAGCAGAGGGUGCAACGGCAAGAGGAGGAGGAGCUGGCAAACGAGGAUCAAAUUCAUAACUUGAAAUCAAACUCUUUAACUUACGCUUCUUUGGGUGAGUUUUCAAAUCAUCAUCAUCUAGCCUUCUAACCAUCAUCUUCAUCAUCCUCUUCAUCAUCACUAUCAUCCUCGUGAUCAUCAUCCCCAACACCUUUAUGAACAGAAGGAUAGCCAUUUUGACCAUUGUUAUCUUCUUUUUCCUCACCCAAUUCUUCAUCAUCAUCAGUCUCAUCUUUUUCCUCAUCAUCGGCAUAGUCAGUACCGAUUGGCCUAGGAUAUGGAACACCACCGCGAGCAGGAAGCUUUUGGCGUUGCGAAGAACCAUAGCCCUGCUAGUGAUUCCCACCAUACAGGUUUGGAGGAUACCUUGCGUCAUUUUCGAUGUCAUCCAUUUCAACACGAACUCAAGAUUAACAACAAAACAACCAUAAAGAAGAUAACUCAGAAAGACUCUAGUUCCUAGUUCGAAACCACCAGUUUUUCCAUUUCGGGAUUAAGCUCCAUACACCCCCAUUAUUCUUUUUCCCCUCUGGAUUCUAAAUCCAACCAACAACUUCUCCUCCUUCAUAGAACUAAACUAGCUCCAAAUCAGCAUUUCGUUAAAAAAACACGAAAACAGCAAACCCCACAUCAAAAUCUUCCUCAAAACAACGUAUUGCCCAAAGAAAAUCACAAUCAGAGAAUAUAUAACACAGUUAGGUCAACAAAAUUGGGAAGUAAACCUAAACCCCAUCAACCUUCUAGUUAAAAUUUCACAAAUUUAUCUUUCCAAACGCAUGAAAUCUAAAAACAAAAACAAACCCACGAUUCAAAUUUUAAAGAUUCUUGAGCUAAAUUCAAAUUCCAAGAGUUUCAAAAACAAGAAAUGAAUGAAACCCUUAGCUCUUACCUCAAAAUCCAAACUUCCCCAGAAAUUUGUUGGGUGGAAAGCCAAAUUGAAGCUUCCUAAAGAGGUUUAACUCGACAUUUGCUAAAAAUUUGCAAUCAAUUGUGUCUUUUUUGGGGAAACUAAGAUGGGAAGAAGGGAAAGACAAGAAGGCAGAGAGAGAGAGAGAGAGAGAGGGGGAGUAAAAGAAUUGGGGAUUAAAGAGGGUCACUGCAUCUAUACGCGGCACGCCUAACUGCCCGUACGUUAUUUUUCUUGCGGUGCAGAUGCCUUCCUGUUGUAUUCGGGUGGGCUGGGCCCUGCAGAUUUGGGCUUCUUGUAGUUGUGAGUACAGGUCUUAUUUUGAUUUGGGGUUUUUGUCGGUUUGUCUCCGAACUUGUAUAGAGCUGUUAAUUUUUUCUCAGAAUUUCAAUUUUAGCUCAUUUCCCACUGAACUUUUAUAAUUGGCCAAUUUCCCCCUAGAACUUUAACUUCAGGCAAUCACCCCCUAAAUUUUUAUAAAUAGUCAAUUUUUCCCUAGCGUUAGAUUUUAAACAUUUUCAUCCAAUUUUUCAUUAUUGCCCCAAUACAGUUGUCAUGUGUUGUCUCGUGAUGAAAAUAGAUGGAAAGUUGGAUGAAAUUUUUUAAAAUCUAGCAUCAAGGGGAAUUGACUAUUUAUAAAAGUUCAAGGGGAUAAUCGGCUAAAAUUAAAGUUCAAAGGGGAAUUGACAGCUCUAUACAAGUUCGGGAAGCAAAUUGACAAAUAUGCCUUUGAUUUUUACCCAUUUUUGGUUUGAAAUUUUUGCCAACUUCAGAAAUUUGGAAAAAAUGUCAUUUUCUCAAGGUUUGAUAAAGAGAUGGCUUAACCGUGGGUUUUCUAGAUGUUAGUGAUACUUUUAAUCAUGUCAAAUUUUUUCUUGUGGGCUUACAUCUUUUGUUCGUAUCUCAUGAUAAAGUUGGUGCGCUCUUAUCUCUAUGUACUUGACAUAUUCAUUGGCAGUUUUGUGUGCAUAUUCUUUAUAGAAGUGCUCACUAACUACUUGAUUAUUUGCAGUUUCUCUUUGAGAACGGUGCUGCUUGUAUUCAAUUCAAAGAGAAGGUGCUCCCUUACUAGUCACAUUGGUAGUUUUGUGCAAAAGCAUCUCUUAUGUGAUAGGAAUUGAAGAUUUUCCUACUUGGCAUUUUCUCAUCGGUUCACCUACAAAGUAAAUAGUAACUACCAACCUGACUUUUCAAUGAGCUUGACUAUUGCUUUUAGAAUAUAGCAAAAUUCAAAAUUCAUUAUGAUAAAACUUGCUAUCACUGCAUUACAGCAGGCAAUGCUGUCAAACUAUUACUUUUUCUGAAGAAGGAAAUGAACAAAACAAAACUAGCAUGAUUGUUUACUAACAUAAACUCCCAAAAUCACUACAAUUGCAAAUGUUCUAUCAUGAUAUACAUUAUUUAUUGGGAGAAAGGAGGAAAAAACCAUUUUAUGGUAGGAAAAUGAGUUAGAAUAAAACUAGGUCAAAUGUUCGAUACUCUUUUAUUAUAAUAAAAAAAUGAAACAAGGAACACUCUGAGAAAAAUCCUUGCAUGCCUAUCAAAAACUUGUCGAUAAUGAGUGAACCAAAAUUAAUUGGAGUUUGUACUUGAAAUUGGAUAAAGUAAUACACUAGUUAUACGAUCAGGGUCAUCCAAUAAAUUGGCAUUGAACUCACUAUUUUCAAGAAUCACAUAUAGUUAAUAAGAACAGUGCUAGACGAUAACACUAACUAUGUCGUCACAAAUAAAUAAUUAAAAGGCUUAAAUGUCAAAAUGGUCCAUGUGUUAUAACUAUAUGGCAAAUUUAGUCUCGUGUUUUCGAUUUGGCUAAUUUAGUCAUCGUGUUUGUUUAUGUUAGCCAAUUAAGGACAUUUCAUUCAAUCUCUUUUAAAAUAUUCAUAAGAAAAAUCAUAUGAGAAAUAAUUACCCUUUCUCUUUACAGAAAAUACAAAUCAAUGAGAAAUAACACAUAUAAGAAAUAACACUUCCAAUCUGAAAAAUGAUUAAGCUUGUGAUAUAGAAAAGAUAGGGGGGUAAAAAUAUUAGGGAGGAGGUCGGAGAGUUGGAAGGAGAAUAAUUUUUCUUUUAAUUUUUAAUUUUAUUUCAUUUUAAAUAUUUUAAAUCAAAUAAAUUAUAAUUUAACAAAUAAGUUUAGAAUAAGAAAAAUUACAUAUAGAGUAUACUUUUAAUACUUAAUUGUAUAUUGAGACAACACUUUUUAAACAUUUCAAAGAGAGAUAAAAGUUAAUACAUGUGAAAAAUGAUAUCAUUGCCUCUCUUUUUUUCUCUAGAGUGUAAGUUACAAAAUUACCCUUUAUAGUGAAAAAGUCUUUUUCACACUUAUAUCUCUUCAACCGUUGCUCUUUUCUCUCUUCAAGAAAUAUUGGUUCCAUUUAAUUAUUCAAUUUAAUUAUUCAAAUGAAUGAAUGAACUUGUGGGUCUACGACCUCUACCCAAUUUACCAUCCCAUUCCCAUUCCUAGUUGGACAAUUAUAGUUCCCAUCUAGUUUUACUUAUUUGUUAGAUGGGUAUAAUUCCCUUCUUUUUUUCCUUUUCAAGUUAAAUGUGCCUUGAAAUUGGAUUGAAGGAUGUUCUUGCUGCUUUAUAGUAUAUGAUAUUCAAAUCAAACACGAUUUAUCAUAGAUAACCUUCCAUUGACCAAUUUAAGAUGAGUUUCAAAUCAAACAAAUUUUGAAUUAGAAGACCUUUGCCUUGCUUCUCUCCCAAAAAAUUCUACUGUUUUAUUUCAAUCUCUGUUAACGAAAAAAAAUUCUAUCAAAAAUUCGAAUUUGUAAAAUGAAAAAAAAAAGUACAAGAACUGGAUUUUGCAAAUGAAAAUUUAUCGAACACACCUACGACUUAAUAAACCAAAAGAUGAAUUAGUGAAGUUUUGUUAAGAUUGUCAUUUAUCGUAGAUGGAUUGAACUGAUUCUACAAAAAUGGUCGAGGACGGGUUGAACUGCUGCAAAAAUGGUCGAAGAUGGGUAGUGAUUCUAAAAAAAUGUCGAUGACGGGUUGAAUUGAUUCUGCAAAAAUGGUUGAGGAUGGGUUGAACUGAUUCUGUAGAAACGUUGAACUGAUUCAGCAAAAAUGGUUGAGGACAAGUUGAACUGAUUCUGCAAAAGCGGUCGAUGACGGGAUGAACUGAUUCUGCAAAACAUUGAACUGAUUAUGUAAAAAUGGUAGAGGACGGGUUGAACUAAUUUAGCAAAAAUGGUCGAGGAUGGGUUGAACUGAUUCUGCAAAAAAGGUCGAGGACGAGUUGAACUGAUUCUGCAAAAAUGGUCAAGGAUAGGUUGAAUUGUAGGAGGAAGGGUUGAACUGAUUCUACAAAAACAGUCGAAAAUGGGUUGAACUAAUUCUGCAAAAAUGGUUGAUGGCAUGUUGAAUUCACAAAAAUGGUCGAUGAAUGAUUGAACUGAUUCUGCAAAAAUAACUGAGGAUGGGUUGGACUAAUUUUAGUAAUAAUGAUACAAACUAAUUCUGCAUAUAGUUUUAAAACUGAUUUUGCAAAAAUAGUCGAAGAUGGGUUAAUUGUCACAGCCCGUCCCGGGAUUCUUUAUAUCGGGGACGUGAAAUGAUGGAAUUACCCUUGACGGGUAUUAAGGUAUGUGUGUGUGUGGCAUAUUAUUUGGACUAAAUACACAUAUUUCAUAAGCUUUUGGAAAAUAAUUUAAGUUGGAUUAAAAUUGGGUUGUAAAUUUGUGUGGUUAGUGAAUGAUAUUGUGACUUGUUUUUGGGUGGACUACACAACACACACACAGGACUCCCCUUUCCUUUUCCCCCGUGCUCUCUCUCUCUCCUCUCCGUUUCAAUCACUUUCUCCCUCUCGAAACCGUACGGACGAGACCAAAUUCCCUCUAAACAUCGCGGAUCGACGCCAAAAAGGUAAGGUUCUUCAUCCUUUCGAUCUCCUGAGUCGUUUGGUACUAGUUUUAGAACGAGAAACCUUCGAAAUCACGUGAAACCUGAACCCCAGUUUUAUGUCACUGUUCAUGCAUUCGUGAUAUGUUGAUUUUCAGGGAAUUCUAAGCUUAUAGUGAGCUUAGUGAGGUCCCAAGGAAGCUCGGAGUGCUUCGUUUGAAGGUUUUGGACGUCGGGAUCAUUGAGUUCGAAAUUGGCCGGUUUUCUUGGAAUUUCUCGGUGAGAUUUUGUAGUUUUUAGAGCCUUAAAGUAGUGUAACGUGAAACUACAUGCUUAGGGCUUCAUUUUGAUAUAAAAUACGAAGAAAAUGGUUGAGAAAUGACGGAGAACAAGGAGAUUGAAAAAUCUCAAGUUUUCCGGCCACCGGAAAAACCAGUCCGGCGAGCUCGAGGUAGGAGACGCGCGUGGGAGGCGCGUGGACCCGUGCCUGUCCAGGCGCGUGGGGGCGUGUGCAGCCUCAGAAAAUUUUUCUAAAAAUUUCUUGACGUCCAUGACGUCGAGUAGGUUGAUGUGGUAUAUUCAUAUACCCAAUUUAAGCACCGUAUGAGAAGUUAUUACGAAUUAUCGGUUAUGUGCUUCAAUUAACGUUUUUAUAGUUGUUUCGCAUAUAGGUGACACUUAUCCCAAGGACGAGCGCAUCCAGGGACGUCACGGGGGUUAUGACCCAUCAACUUACCAGUGAGUGGGCAGUAUUUCUGUUUAUACCUAUACUAUUGAUAUUUUUCCCAGAAAUUGAGUUUAAAUGAAGUAUGUUUUAAAAUGCCAUGCAUGCAUAUUAUGAGAAAUAUGAAUUGAUAAUUGAUGCAUAUAUAUAUGUGAAUUGGUGCUGUUGACGCACAUGUGAGUAUUAUGUUAUUCAUGUGAAUCAUUGAUGAUGUGAAUUGCAUUGAGAGCUCAUAACCUACACCCUUGGUGUUAGUGCUUAUAUUAUUCACCGCACCACACGCUCACCUUGGAUCCAAGUAGGUGCAUGUCGUAUAGACCAUGUGAGGGUUCCGACAUGCUAGUCGUAUAGAUCACUAGAGGUGGUUCCGACUAGUAGGUGACCUUAGAUUAUGCGCGCAGAUGAUUGAAGAGAGAAGCACUAGAGCGUAUUCUUACACCGUUCUUAUCGUAUAGACUACUUUAGGUAGUUCCGAUUUAUGUGCAGAGUAGUGCCGUACAGGUCACCGUGGUGAUUCCGGCUGGGUUGGAUAUUGAGCUAUAGAAUGAACCAUACAGGACCAACUGCGGGGUCUCCGGUUGUUUCAUUAUAUCACCUGUUAUAUUGAUGCAUCCAUAUUCUGUCAUUGACAUUAUUGCAUGGCAUACUUGCUGGAUUUUGGUAAAGAUUAAUGUUUUGAGAGAUUUGAACAAAUAUUAUGCUAUUAUGUUAUUUUCUGGGAAAGUAUACAGGUUUUACAGUGAGGGGUUAGAAAUGUUUUAAAUGAAAUGUUUUGGAAAACUUUGGUUUUACUGACCCACUCAAUUUUGUUUUGCGCCCCUCCAGGUUCUAGUUAGCAGUUGGUGGCUCACGAGGUUUUCUUCGGCAUUCUGACAGACUUCCUACAUGUAGGACUCACCUGCGGGUGUUGUAAUUUAAUUAUAGUCCUACUUGACUGCACCUAGUAUUUAUGCUCUGAAAUUGUGUACUGCACACUUAAACUCACUCUAGCGUGCUAGUUGGAUAUUACUGCUAGUAGUUGGUUUUUAUUCCUUCGUAUUUCUCAUAACUUUUGCUUCCGCAUCGUACUUUUGGUUACGUCACGCUCACGUGACGGCCAUCACACCUUGAUUCUUGAAUCGGGGUGUGUCAUUAAGCUUAUGGCACAUUAAUUUUGUUGGAGUGAUGAAGGCUGAGUUAUAUUAUUAGCCCUAAAGCUUUAAGGGUAUGACUGAUAUUUUAAAACAUUGUUUCCAUGUUUUUGGGAUGGGCUUUAGUUGUUUUUUAUAUUUUUGUUUCUCCUUGACAUGCUUAAAAACUAGUAGAGUUUCUUGAAAUAUAGUAUUGUCUCUCUAUAUAGAGCUCCCUUUUUUUUCUAUUAUAAAUAAACGGUCCAAAUUUAAUUUAGAGUUUCUUAUUAUAUAGUCCUCAAAUUGAAGAUUAUAUUAUAGAAACUUUUCCAUUCCAUUGGAGAUGUUCUAAGAAAGACGUCCAUCACUUCUACCCCUUGUAUGAUUUUAUUUUGGGUGCUUAGUUGUUUCUAACCUCAACAGAAUAAAGUUAGAGAAAUUGAAUUAUAUGGUUUUACAAGAGAUAAUCCUGAAGUGGGAACGAAACUCCCAUGAAAAAAUGUAUAAUAACUUAAAUAAGUAUGGUGGCAUAAUGUUUAGUUUAUACAUGUGUUUUCAUUUGAUUAAUCAAUUAAGUAAAAUCUUUUUUAAACUAGAACCAGAUUGUAGUAAAAAUUAGAAAAAUGAGUUACCAAGUGAAGAGAAGACCGCAUAGCGCAGUGGAUUAGCGCGUUUGACUUCGGAUCAAAAGGUCGCGGGUUUGCCUCCCACCAAUACUUCAUUUGUAGAUAUUCUUAAUUUUUUGUUUCACGGAAAUAGCAGCUGCAUGUUCAGUUUAUUCACCACCCACUUUAUUCUCACAUGGUUCAAUUUGUGGAUGUAAUUAUUUCCAUUGGAUUUUAAUUCCGUAUCUCCACAAUCACAAUGCAGCAGAAACAGUUUGUAAAUUUUCUGGGGUUUGAGGCAUUGAGCUGCCUGGUCUAAGCAUAAAUGUAGGACUUUAAUAGAACGGACAAUCGGAGACAUGAGUGAAUUAGACUACAAUUCUUUUUCUGAGUGUGCUGUGCAGUCACUGACUGACUGCAUGAAGAAUUUGAAUUGGUGCCGGAGUACUGAUACAUUUAUUUCCAACAAUGUCAAAUUAGGAAAUACGAAAAGAAACAAUCGUGCAUUGGAUGAGUAGGGUUGUGUAGGGAUUUUCAAGUUAAACACGGAUAAUCCAAGAACCUCGUCCUCAAGUACAAUCUAUUCAUACAGAUACUCAAGUAGAGAUGCAGAAACUUGUAAGAACAUAUUGAAUAUUGAAUCUUCUAUAAAUCCACUGAACUCCACGAUCGAUACUAUACACUGAACAUGUGUGUACAAGGGAAUCACAUUCGGACUCAAGAUCUGUGUUACAUACAAAUCAUUUUCACUACUCCCUCAACGUCCUACUUGUAUAAUGCAUUUGAUAUCGGGGAAAAUUUUUGAAGUCCAAGAGGAAGAGAGCCAAAGAACAACUGGCUUCAAAGGAUGAUGGUAUAGGAAGACUCAAAAUAAUCGGAAAAGAAGAUUACCGCAAUUAAAAUAGUUCACUAUCUUUACUCGGCAACCUUUUUCCUCCUACCACCACGUCUUGGAGUAAGAGUGACAAGCUCUUCAGCCUCUUCCGGUGGUUGCUAAUUAUUUACAAGGUCUUUUGACGAAUUAUAAUUAAUUUAUAAUUAAUUGAUAAUUAAAGCACAUCCAAAGCCCAACUCCAAGGGUGAGCCCAAUUUUAUUCUCCAAGGUCCAUCACUCCAAUCACUUUCUAUAAGGGACAAAGCCUUAUAAAGUAAGGAAACCUUGUGGUGGUGAGCAAUGUGGGACAAUGAAAUUCUACUCAAAAUUUCCAACAAUUUGUCUUCUUCAGAAGUUCUUUUGCUGCAGAAAGCUCACCAGCAACCGCAUCACCACUUAACAUAGCCUCAUCAAGGGUCCUCUGUAGUGAUUCCCUAACUCCAGUAAACUCGGCCCGAACCCUAGAGAUCUCAGCUUCAAGUUUCGUGUACAAAGUUUUUGACUAUUUUAAUUGAUUUUCCAUAUUGGAAGCUUAACUUCUUGAUUUUGCAAGAGCUUCCUGAGUGCUCUAGAGUUCAUGUUUCAAAUUCGUUUCAAUUUUCAAUUCUCUAUCCAGAAGUUCCUUUAAGUUUUCAUUCUCUCGGGUCAAAUUAGCAAUUAAUUCUUUGUUUCUACUUGUGUCACUCAGAGCAAGUUCAAGCUUUUUCUUUAGCUGUUGAAAUUUCUCUUCCCUUUCUCCCAAAAGCUUAGCAUCCAAAUCCGCCUUUCUACAGGAGGAUGUUUUCAGAUUAUUGUAUUCCUCCUGAAUAGAUGAAACUCCCUCUUCGAAUCAUCUAAUUCAGAAGUUAAAGAACUAACUGUUGCAUUCAGUUCAUCGAGAGAGGAAUUCUUCAAUUCUAAUUCCUUUUGAUUUUUCAAGAGUUCAUCUUUCAACAUUUGACUAUCUGAAAGUGCAUUGGUUAGUUCAUCCAUCAUUUGAUUGUAGGUAGCUUUCAAGUCCCUCAACUCCAAAUCUUUUUCGGCAAGGAAUAGCCAAGACUUCAGACAUUGUUUUCUGUAUCCUUGAUUUCUGAAUUAAGCUAAUCAAUCAUCCCCUGUAGGACUUCAAUUGAGUUUUGCUUUUCCUUCAAAUUCUCUUCAAGUACUACCUUUUCUUCUCCGGCCUUUGAAAGGUUGGUUUUAAUACUGUCAAUUUGAAUUUUAAGCUCCUCAAUCAAUUUCUUUUCACCAUUUAACUCCUUUCCUAAGCUUGCAAUUGUACUUUUUGCCAAACUCAGUUCGCUUGUUAAAGAAUUUUGCUCUUCCUUUGCCUUUGCAAGUUGCUUGCUCCAUUCUUCUUGUUCACCUAGUAACUGAGAUUCAUAGCUCUUCCCCAAUGAAACAAUAGAAGCUUCCUUUUCUUUCAGCUUGGUCUUCAUCUAUGCAUUUUUAACCAAAGUAAAUGUGGGUUAAAUCAAACAAAGUAUCUAAAAGUAUUUUUAUGAAUAGAACCCAAAUGUAAAUGUGUGUAAAAGGGAAUCACAUUCGGACUCAAGAUCUGUGUUACAUAAAAAUCAUUUUCACUAGUCCCUCAACGUCCUACUUGUAUAAUGCAUUUGAUAUAGGGGAAAUUUUUUUAAGUCCAAGAGGAAGAGAGCCGAAGAACAACUGGCUUCAAAGGAUGAUGGUACAGGAAGACUCAAAAUAAUCGGGAAAAGAAGAUUACCGCAAUUAAAAUAGUUCACUAUCUUUACUCGGCAGCCUUUUUCCUCCUACCACCACGUCUUGGAGUAACAGUGAUAGAUGUGGAGCCAAAAAUAAUCACAAGGCAACACGUGGAUUUUUGGACAAAAGAGGACAAAAUUACCCUCAAGGCACACUGUAUUUCCUACGCGCGAGCAGUGGACAAUCAUUGGUCAAUCAAGCCAAGAGUGCCGAAAAUAGGUAACAAAUCCAAAGUUAUUUCAUCCAUCCUCAUCCUAUAUUGUCCACAGGGUAAUUAUUUCAUAACCUUCAAAACAUACCUUAUAAAUUGUGUUAAUUGCCAAAUAAAUCACCCAUUACACUAAAAAAUUACCCAAAAGGCCGGCCAUUCUCUCUCCCAAGAGAGCCGGCCAUGCUCUAUAUAUUGAACCCCAUUUUCUCUAAAAAGCUAAGUACACACUCUUGCAAAACUCCAAAAACUCUUUAAACACUUUUCUCUCUAAAUUCUAACUUUGGCAUCAGAGGUUCUUCGGCCAAAGCCCCCCCAUUCAUCGUGGGCGCGUGAGGCUUUUGGCCUUAACUAAAUGUGUUAAUUGUUUUGUAGGUGCAAUUUUGUCCAAGAUCAAGGAGGAAGAAAUUUGCAUCCACAAAAUGGUGCUUUGAUUGAGAGAAGAGUCACACACUCGUAAAAGACUCAUGCAUCAAAAGGUUUUUCUAUUUUCUUGUCCAUUUGUAGAUUUUUUGUACGUUCUUAUUAUUAGAAAUUUUUAUUUGCAAAGAUUCUUUGAUAAAACGUAAAAGAGAAAUACAAUGGCUAGAAUUUUAGAAAAUUCCAUAAGUGAAAAUUCCAAUAUUCAAGAAAUGGGACCACGACAAUCCACGAGGCUAAGUGUGAUCAUAGGAGCGGCACCAUCGCUACGGGGCUCCACCAUGGCAACCACCGCGGUGGCCACCACGGUCACCACUACCCAUGGUGAGGUCCAUGGCACCGCUACCACUGCCCGAGCCGUGCCAUCCAAGGCUCAAGACACAAAGGUCACUGCCCAAGCCAUGUCACUUCAAGCCCAAUGCGAACUUAACGCGUUGCCAAGCUAAACCAAAGCCUUGCACCCGUGUGCAUCACACUCCGAGCAACAUGUUUCCGUCGAGCAGCCCACUCUCAUAGCCCAGCCUCUCUCUCCGAGCAGCCCACUUUCGUGGCAUUCCAAGCAGCCUAAAUUGAUCCAAGAUUAGUUCAACUAUCCUGGCUCCAAAUUUCCAGAUUGACGAUCAAACCAAGAGCAUUUUCACCACAUUUUUCUGCGGAUUUGGCAUUUCCCAACUCAAAUCUCGCGCUUGGAGUCUACCACACUUCCACUGCUCAAGAAGAUGCAUUCCUUCCAAGCUAUUCCAACCCAAAUGGAGAACAACACUUGUCUCGACAAGUCAUAGAGUUGACGAACGCCCUCUCACAGCAGACAACUUUGGUGAACCAACUCUUACAGCGCAUCGAGAUGCAAAGUGUCCCACACGAGGUGUCCUGAAGUAGGACAAGGGCAGACAAAGAACCUUUGCAGCAGCGUCUCGGCAAGCAGCCACUUGACCAGCCACUAACCAAGCGUUCAGGCAGUGUACACUCCUGAUUGGGCCUCCGAGAUAGCGUAUACUUCCGUCUUAGAGCGCGAAUGAGCGUGCACUUUCGACUAAGCCCACAAACGAGCAUACAUUCACAGUUGGGGUCACACUCCAAUAGUCAACAUGAGCAACUUUCCAGGCGAAGUGUUCAUUCGCGGCUAAGUCCGCAAGGAGUAUCCUCCACCUCACAUCGGAGUAGGCAGCACGACAAAUUGAGAGAAGCAGUCACUCAAUUCGGCUCAAGUUUAACCGGCAGUCUGUGAAGAACUCGCUCGCCUGCUAGGAACGCGCUACACGCAUCACAUUCGUGGCAUAGACGAGCCAACAUAUGGAAAAGUAGCCUAGACCAAUAAGUCACUGUUGAGGGCAGCCGAGAGCUCCAUUACCUCAACAAAGGCAAAUUCAGGAAAAAGUAGAGAGACUCUUGACCAAGCGAUUGCGCAAUUUCCAAUGCAACAAGAUCAUCGAUGAGGCACUACGACGGAAAAUGACCAACAUAAGCAGGUUACUUUUCACCGAUGAGAUCGACCAGGCAGAGCCUUCACACGAGUUCAGCAUGCCACAUUUCACAUCUUUCAAAGGGGAUGAAGACCCGGAGAGACACUUAAAGCACUACCGAAGCACAAUGAUCCUCUAUCGAAACAACGAUGAUCUCAUAUGCAAGAUAUUCGCCACCACUCUACAAUGUGAAGCACAAGAUUGGUUCUACACCCUGCCGCCACAAUCCAUUUGGAAUUUCGACGAAUUUUCUUUGGUUUUCACCAAAGAAUAUUCAUCCUAUCGCUCAAUAAAAAAGAAGUCCGACCAUUUGUUCCACGUCAAGAAGAACCCAAAGAAGUCGUUUUGCAACUAUGUAAGGAGGUUCAAAGCAGUGAAAGCAAGGAUAGUCGGAUGCAACAACUUAAUAGUUAUAACAGCCUUCCAAAAAGGACUUCUAGCAGACCACCUGCUAUUCGGAAAAUUGAUCAUGAAAGAAGAUUUAACUCUGGCAGACUCUUUCGCUCUGGCAGAGAAGCAUGCACUUUGGGACGAGGCUCGCCAAUGCACAUUCAAGGACUUGAAGAAGUACCCGACAUCACCUCCCUACUAUCCAAACCGGAAGCAGCGGUGGACUUAUUCGCAUGUUUGACGGUAUCUAAAGCAGCAUUAAGCCCUACCAUCAUGUGAGAAGAGCUGGGGGCCCAACUACCUGUAUUCUACAGUUCAAAAGCUCUCCUCGAUGUUAUUAAAAAUUCAAAAGAUAACUUUGACGAUAGUUGUUGUAACUUGGAAGCUCAAGUUUUACCUUCAAACGCAUGCAGUCAUCCUUAUGACGCAGUAUUUCGCCUAAUCCAGACACGCAACGAUAAAAGCGUAAGACCUUGGCGAAUGCAAAGUUUUUUGAUGAACUCAACAACUCGACCCAAAAGACGCACCAAGGGCAAACGAACAUUGGAAGGACACACUCGAAAGCAAGUUUUGUCUUUGUCGCCCUAAAAGAUUCUACAUAGAGCAACAUGUACCGGUAGUUCAACACCACUUCCUACUAUGUGUCACACGGUCCCAGCCGACCCUUGCUUUAUAAUUCAACUCUAAAAUGGUCCAAUACCAGCAUUUGAGCAUCCUCUGCUGCAUGUAAUAUGGCUCUAGCUCCAUGGCUCCCUACCACGCAUUCAUGACGCAACAGAGCGGCCCAACGACUCCCCGAAGGUAGCAGAGCGCGCCCUAGCCGCGCCUGCUCCACCCUAUGGAGACUUUUGGUAUUUGCAUGUCCACAUCGCAUCCAAUUACAAAGGUUUAAGAGCAGGCGUAGUCCUUGUCAUCCAGACAAUUCGAUGUCUAGGUUUCAAAGUAUCCAACAACAAAGCAGAAUACGAUACCCUAUUAGCAGGCUUCCGAAUGGCAAAAGACUUGGCAGUGAAAAAGCUCGCAAUUCAUUCUGAUUCCCAGCUAAUCACUAGCAAGACUGCUUUGGUUUUAAUAAUGUCAAUUUGAAUUUUAAGCUCCUCAAUCAAUUUCUUUUCACCAUGUAACUCCUUUCCUAAGCUUGCAAUUGUACUUUUUACCAAACUCAGUUCGCUUGUUAAAGAAUUUUGCUCUUUGUUUGCCUUUGUAAGUUGCUUGCUCCAUUCUUCCUGUUCACCUAGUAACUUAGAUUCAUAGCUCUUCCCCAAUGAAAAGAAGCUUCCUUUUCUUUCAGCUUGGUCUUCAUCUGUGCAUUUUCAACCAAAGUAAAUGUGGGUUAAAUCAAACAAAGCAUCUAAAAGUAUUUUUACGAACAGAACCCAAAAGUAAAGGAGUAUGAUCUUUCGAGCUCAGAGACUCGUACAUUAACGGGAUGCAUUUCUAUAAAAUAGAGAAACCAGGAAAGCAAAAGGGACCACCAGAGUGAGGAUCGUUUUCAAGGAAGCAUUUAAGAACACAAAAUUGGGAAACAAGUUAAAACACUCAUUACAUUAAAGUUCCUUUUCAAAGAGACUAGACUUUCGUCAGCAUCUAUGGUAUGUCUGUGUUGUCUCAGCAUGUAAAGAAAAGCUUUCUAUGGUAUUGAAUAGAGACUUACAGAUUCGACUAUGGCAUCAGUGACUUUCUUUUCUGACCGAGUCAAUGCAUAGAGCGCACCAAGGACACCAUAACUAAAAAUACCAAUGCCAUUCAGGAGAGACAAAACGUGAUUUGGUGCUGCAUUUGUUUAAAGUGCUUCUUGUUCAAUGAAUAACCCACUUUAGAAAAUUAAGCCUUAUAACAAAUAAUUAACAAAAUAAAAAGGAAAGAUAUUAAAUACAGAUUUCUUUAGGGAGUCUAGUAGACAUUCGUAAUUUCGUACCUCUGUGUUUUUACUCCCCACUGGUGUCUUUAGCUCACUUUCUUCUGGAAAAAAAAAGGAAAUAAAGGAACUAAUGCAUAAACCGCAUGAAAUAAGAUGGAAACUUGUUACAAAAGAUAAUAAUUUAUAGUAACACCAGUCCAUUUUAAGAAAAGAACUAAAAAUGCAGCGCAUUGUAAGAAUCUUUGUAAAAAGAAUAUAUAAAGAGAAGGUUUAGUAAAUACCCUAAACUACCUUUGAAAUAUUAUUGCUUAAUUAAUAGGAUCCGCACAUAUAUCCUAACUUUGCGCAUUUAAAGGAUAUGAACUAUGUUUUGUGAAACCCAUUAGGCCUAAGCCCAGGAACCAAGCCCAGACCUGGACCCGAAUCUGGCCCAACCUAGUCGGAUCCCAAUAUCCUAGGCCGCUUGUGGGCCUGCACGUGGGUGCGCAUGGGUGCUUGCCUUGGUCGGCGCGUGGAGCACUCGUGCCUCUACCGGAGGUACUGUGCUCCGCCAUCGUCCACGGCGGUGUCGACGACUUUUCUGGUGACCUAAAAUGGCGCGUGAGGACCUGUGCGGUAGGGCAUGGGGGUACCUGAGGUCUCCCACAUGUUUUUCGACGUCCUGAAUCUGUUUAUGAUGUUCUUUUCUUGAAAUUCAAUCGUUUGAGUAUAGUUUUAUUAAUUAGACCCUUUAUGUGCUUAGGUGUAUUUAUUGCAGCGUUUCAGUCUUCGCUAGUUGCAUGACUUUUCGACGGCGAAUUAUCUAUAAGUGGACCCCUUCCAAAAUGCAUAAUUUUACUAUUAGAAAUGCAUACAUGAAAAGCAUGACUUAAUGGUUACGUUUUGAUGUGAAAAUAUAUAAGCACACAAAUUAAAACCCUCUUUUGACAAUUGUAGUAUAUGUAUAAGUAGGGAUCGUUCUGGACCGAGGAUUAGGAGAGAUUGCUAAUCUAUGCUAAACUAACUUUAAAACACAAAACUAGGCUUAAAAUACUUAACUAGACUCAAAGAAUGGAAAACUAGACUCUAAUACACUAAAACAACUCAAAUGACUCAAACAGCACAAAACAAGCUAAUUAGACUCAAACUAGACACUAGGAGUAAAUUUGGACGAAAAUUGGUUUUACUUUGACUCAAAACACUUAAAAACACAAACGAAAACAAUUUCUAACUAAUAUGACUCAACAAAGUAAAGGGGGAUUUGGUUUUGACGAAUUUAAAGCAAAAACAAAUAACUAAAGACUUAGAAUAGAUUGUAAACGAAUUUGGGAAAUAAGAUGGUUGAUGGAUUAGCUAGAGGUCCAUUCUUCACACAUGACACUCUUGUACAUGAAUCGAUUUCCAAUUGCUUUUCAAUAAAUUAUGAAGCUCAACACCCCAGAUUAACCGUGAUGCACUAAUUAACCCUCAGAUUUUCCUUUACUUAUUGAAUUGGAUGAAUGCAUGCGACAACCCAAAUCAUUCUCCAAAAGUCCCCUAUAUGAAUGCAUAAUAGAGAUACAAUCAAAGAUAUUUACGGUCCAUGAAAAUCAUAAGUGUUGACAAGACAUUCGUAACUGUGAAUGCAUGAUACAUUGGCCAAGAAUUCAAUUAACGCAAUUGUGAGUAGCAACCUUUACUACUUAUGAAUAUAAAUUUGUAACGAUUAGGUGAAACUCAUUUAUAUUCUAGCAUUAAAUUCAUGCAUGAAAACUAAGUAUGCAUCCCUAAUUAACAUACAAGAAUCAGUUUGGAAGAAAACAGUUAAUUAAAUUGCAUUCACAACUUAUCAAAUCACAAUUGGAAGAAAUCAAUUCAUAUCUCAAGGAUGUUCAUGGCUUCGAAUCUCCCCCUAGCUAAAUAGGGGUUUAGCCACUCAUGUUCACAGCAAAACAAAAGAAAAAAAAAAUUAAAACACUGUAAACAUAGAACGAAUUACACCUAGAAUGCUCCAACAAUCAACCUCGAACAUCCAAAAGGCCUCCCUUCUUUUUUUCUUGCUGCGGCACAAAGGUGGAUGAAGUGUAUGAGAUGAGUUUUGUGAUCAGGAAUAUGUUUUUGGUUGAAUAGGGCUGCGGCAAGGAUGUAUGGUGGUGGAGAAUGAUGUAGAAUGGUGAAUUGUUGCGACUGAGAGGUGUUUCUAAAUGGUAGAAGGGUGUGUGUCGAAUUUUGGCUGAAAAACUUAUAUUUAUAGGCUAGGGUUUUCACAAAUCCUGAUGGGAAAAAGCUAGGGUUUUGUAGAAAAAGGCUUGGCCCAAUCCAAGGUGGAAAAGAACUAGGGUUUGUGGAAAAUUUUUAGGCUUCUAGAAAGAGAAUAGGCACCACUUUUUUAGGCUUCUAGAAAGAACAUAUUUUGUGGCAGAAAUUAGGACUUCUAGAAGGGUUUGGGGCGUCACCUUUCUAGGUCUUCUUGAAAGGUGGGUGCGGCAUGUGUUUAAGGGAAGAUAUCGGCCUUCUAAAAGGGUUUUAGGUGCCUUUGCAGCUGACUAUUCAUCUUCCAAGUCUUGAAUUGAUUUCUCCAUCUCUUUAGCACGUUCCUAGCUUCACUUGAUCUUCAAAAACGUCCAUUCCGGCCCAUAAUUGCUCUAAAAUGCUUCAAAAUGCACUUUCUUGCCAACUUUGCCAAUUAAAUCUACAAACAAACGAAAAUAGCUUAAAUCACUAUAAUAAACACAAACUAACUAUGAAAAUGUAAGAAAACAAGCUAAUUAAGUCGCAUAAAUAUGCUCAUAUCACGUUUUAUGAAAUGUUUAUGAUUAAAUUGGUUUUACGCUUUAUGAUAUUUCAUGAUUUAUCGAAUUUACGUUCUUUGUGGUAUAUAUGAUUGAUGACUAUAUACUAUGAAGAUGAUUUAAGAUAUGAUGUUUGAGCUACUAAGCUCUGUUGAGAUAUAUAUACUUAUAUUCUGGAAAGAUUAUGUUCAAUGAUUUUUAUGUUUAUCUAGUGGUCACUAUGUUGUGCCUACGGGCAUAUGAUCUGCCUACGGGCGACUGAUCUGCCUACGGGCGACUGACCUGCCUUCGGGCGAUACUCAUAAAUUUGCAUUUGCAUAUCAAGCUUAUUUUUCCAGAUUCCUUAUGUGUAGUGCAGUUGUCUAGUAAAAAAUUUCGUCUAUUAUCCAGUUGUCUAGGCACACAAAUUAAGACAGCCCACAUGGGCCAUCUAACACUUUUUUCCCAAAAAUGGAUUUUCAGCCCUAGGUCUUUCUAUAUUGAUUUUACACAUGACACGUGACUUUUCAUCCCCUAUCUUUGUCUGACACUCAGCCAUCUUUAUAAAGUCAUUCUAGGGCUUAUUUGCUGUUGGGAAUUUGAGAUUGGAAAAGUUUUUAGAGUUUUAUUUUCAUCUCUACCUCAGAUCUCCUAGGAGCAUCAAGCAUAUUUUAUGUGCAAUGUUCUUCAUUGAAUAUUUCUAAACCUAUCUUUGAAUUGCUUGCUUAAAUUCAUUUUAUAUGCUCUUUUGUUUUGGCUAGGAGUUUUACACUUUUAGAAAAAAGUUGAUUUUAGUUUUGAGCUACCUCUUAUGUUUUUACUUGAAAACCCUAGCUACAAAAUCACACUUAUGCGCUAAAUACCCACCAUUGCAUAUUAGGGUAGCAUUGUUUUUGUGAUUUUGAUUUUUGUUUUAGGUUAAGUUUUCCAAGUUUCAAAUCUGUGAACUGACCUGUUUUGGAUUCUCAUCAAUUUCAUUUUUAAAGUGUUUGAUUGGUGAACUGACUAGACAUCGAAUCCAGAUUUGCAUAUCUUUGUCAUAUCAUCAUAUGUAUAGUUUGUGUGUUGGUUUCAGUGCCACAAGGUGAAGAGUUCAGGAAGAGCUAUCAUCUUGUGAACACUGAAGACAACACUAUUUCAAUUUCAUAAGGUGAAGAGCUCAGGAGGAGCUGUCACAUCGUGAAGAUCGAAGGAAUCUAUCUCGCUUAAAGAAAGGUUGCACAAAGGUAAAAUUGCUCCGUAGAUAGGGAUCUAGGAAUUGAGCUUGUGUGGUCUUUGUACGAACCUUUGUUUACACUAGUGGAUGCAACUACUAAAGUGCAGUGGACGGUUGUAAUAUUUUGUGUAUGUUUUAAUUAAAAAAAAAAAAAGCUUUCAACCUUUUAUGUUUAAAUUGUACAAAUUAAACAUUUCAUCUAUAAACCUUUUCGAACCUCUGUUCUCAAUAAUGUUAAUGUUUUGUGAUACCAUUUUUGCAUCUUUCAAACACAGUUUUUAAUACAGUUUUCAAACCUCUGGCAAUGCGCGUGUGACCCAUUCUAGUAUAUAUUAAAUGACAUGAACGAAAUUAAAACUUGAGCAAUGAAGUUUCCAUAAUGCUGGCUCUUGACACCCUUGAGUUUUAUUUCCAACUUGCAUCUAUGUUGAUUUUCACUCAUAGAGAUAAUAGGGAGAACCAAGUAGGCAGGAGAUACUUGUCUGCUCUCCACUUUUCUUCUGAUUUGUAUUCUUCGUUGUUGUCGUUCUAAAUUCACAUCAAGCCAUUAUAAAGGAUAGGGUAGCCUGCACAUGAGAAGGGGGCCUUGUAUUCAAUUAAACAUUAAUGAUCUAAGUUAGUUAGAGAGCUUUACUAUAUAUGUUCAGGUGAGGGGGCUUUGUGCAUCCAUCUUGGAUUCAACUACAAAACUGAUGUAUAAUCUUGUAUAAGUAUGUGCAUACAUCACACUUCCCACAACAGAUACAUAAAGUAUACUUUACCUCUCUCUCACUUUCUCAUUUUGCAAGUCCAAAAGAUCUUUCUAGAAGAACAAGUCUCUCACCGAACGCCUCUAGCACCAUUUGACCUCGCACGCUAUAAAACCUAACACCAAUUCCCAACAUUAAAAAAUAAAUUCAAUUUAAUUAAAUUAAAUCAUAAGAAGCAUAGAUUUGAGGAAUAAAUUUCUGUAUAUAUUCAUCAAACAAGAAUUACAGCUUUAUACAAAGACUACCACGAUACUAUCAUAUUUUAUUGCCUAUAAAUAAGGCUAAUUAACAACUAAACAGGAAAGUAAAUAUCAAUACACGAUAUUGAAUAAUUAAUCUGAGAUUCCUUCCUUACACUCCCCCUCAAGUUAGAGUGUAUGUUAAUGACAGUCAACUUGUUGAGCAACAUUUCAAACUAUGUCGAACUCAAUGGUUUGGUGAAUAUGUCAACUUGCUGAUCACCUAUCUGUAUGUAGGUUGUACGUAUCAUUCCUCUUUGAACCUUCUCUCGCACUAGGUGACAAUCAAUCUCUAUGUGCUUUGUUCGUUCAUGAAAAACAGGAUUCGAAGCAAUGUGUAUGGAGGCUUGAUUGUCGCAAAACAAUGAAACCGGUUGUUGAUGAUUUACUUCCAAAUCGUUUAAGAUAUUUCUCAGCCAUGUAAUCUCACAAUACGUAGUGGCCAUAGAACGGUAUUCGGCUUCUACGCUAGAGCGAUAUACAGUGGUUUACUUAUUAGUUUUCCACGAAAUUGGUGCUUGGCCAAGUAAAACACAAUAACCCGUUAUCCAUUGUCUAGUAUCUUUGCAUCUAGCCCAAUCAGCAUCACAAAAUGCUCGUAACUGUAAUGAUCUUGUGGAAGGAAAGAAAUUACCUUGCCCAAGUGCCUGUUUAAUGUAUUUUAGUACUUUGUGUGUGGCAUCAAGAUGUGGUUGCUAAGGCUUAUCCAUGAACUAACUUAACACAUGCAUGGCAUUGGCCAAGUCUGGUAUUGUUAUUGUCAAAUAUAUCAAUCUACCCACAAGUCUUCUAUAUGAUGAAGGAUCGUCCAAUAACCGUCCUUCCAUUUGCGUGAGGGCCAAAUUUUGGUCUAAGGGAAACCGGGAAGGUUUCAUGCUUAAAAACCCAACAUCAUCCAAUAUCUUUUGCGCAUAUUUGCAUUGACAUAGAGUGAUUCCAUGCUUUGAUCGUGCAACUUCUAUCCACAAGAAAUACUUGAGCACCCCCAAGUUUUUCAGUUUAAAAUGGUGAGAGAAACUGUUUAGUCUUUUCAAUUUCACGUAAAUCGUUCCCUGCCAAUAUUACGUCGUUAACAUAGACCAGUAAAGCAGUGAAUAUACCUUGACGACUUCAGACGAACAAUGAGUAAUCAGACAAAGAUUGUUCAAACCCAGCAACCUUGAGAGCAUUGGAUAAUUUGAUGAACCAUUGCCUCGAAACUUGCUAUAAACCGUAAAAAGAUUUGUGCAACUUGCACACUCGAGUCUCCCCCUUUCGUCCGAAACUAGGAGGCAAAGUCAUGUAAACAUCCUCUUCCAAGUCACCAUUUAAAAAAGCAUUGUUCACGUCUAGUUGAUAAAAGGUGUUAACCUUGCAAGGCUGCAACAUUGAGGAGGACAUAGAUUGUGGUCAACUUAGCCACGGGAGCAAAAGUGUCAUGGUAAUCAACCCCCUCGAUUUGACUGUACCCCUUUGCAACAAGAUGUGCCUUGUACUGUUCGAUUGUCCCAUCGGGUUUGAGCUUCACCUUAUAAACUCACUUGCAUCCAAUAGGGCCUUUAUGAGAAGGAAAAGGCAUGAGCGUCCAUGUGUUAUUUGCAUGGAGGGCAGCAAGCUCAUGUUGCAUGGUAGCAUGCCAAUGUGGAUCUUGGACAGCCUGGGAAAAGCUAGUAGGUUCCUUAAAGAGGGUGAGAUUAACAGUAUAUGCUUUAUAUGUGGGUAAGAGAUGAUCAUAGGAUAAGUGAGUAGCGAUGGGAUGAGAGGUACUUGACUUAACCACGUUCGUUGAAGAUGCGGGAGCAGUCCUUAAAGGGAGAUAGGCCUUGACGUGAAAGUCAUGCAAAAAGGAUAAGGGUUUUGUGGGUCGGGUACCGCGGCGGAGUAGGGGUGGGGUAAGUGUAGGCGAGGGUGCUGUGGGAUUUGAAGGUAAAGGCAUGGAGGUGGGGUGGUGGUAUCAUCUAAGGGAGGAUUGGAAAGUGAAGGUAGGGAAGACAUGAGAGAUGAGGUAUGAGUAGCAUCUGAAGGUGAAUGGGAUCAUUGGAGGAAGAGAGAGGUUGAGACGAUGCAAAGAAAUGAUCCAUGUCAAAGUGGAGCAAGGAGGCAGGAGGGUGAGGUGGAGUGGUAAAGGCAGCGGAAUUGUCUAAGUGUUGAUAAGGGAAUUGGUCUUCGAAGAAAAUGACACCCCUGGAGACAAACACUUUUUGAAGAUGAAGAUCAAAUAGUUUAUAACCUUUUUGACCAUAAGGAUACCCUAGAAAAAUACAACGACGCGCACGGGGAUCAAACUUGGAAGGUUUUUGUGCAUGAGUGGAUGCAAAACAAACACAACCAAAGACCCGUAAGUGUGAGUAUUUGGGUGGUUUUUGAAACAACUUUUCAUAUGGUGUUUGCCCAUGAAGAAUGGGUGUUGGUGUGCGAUUAAUGAGAUAUGCUGAAACAAGGAUUGUGUCCCCCAAAAAUCGUUUAGGUAAAUGAGCUUGGAAAAGCAAUGCUCGAGCAACAUUAAGCAAAUGUCUAUGCUUGUGUUCAAUGAAACCAUUUUGUUGUGGUGUGUUGACACAACUAGUUUGAUGGAUGAUUGCUUCUAAGGCAUAAAACGUGUCAAGUUUAAACUCGGGACCAUUAUCACUACGAACCAUUUUGACUUUAGUGUUGAAUUGUGUUUCAACCAUAUGAAUGAAUUGGGUGAGAAGCCCCUUGGUGUCAGACUUAUGUUUCAGCAAAUUGAUCCAUGUGCACCUAGUAUGAUCAUCAACAAUGGUAAGGAAGUACUUGGCACCGAAAAGAGAAGACACUUGGUAACCACCCCAAAUGUCAACAUGUAUCAAUUCAAAACAUGAUGUGGUAGACAUGGAACUUAAAGAAAAAGGAAACCUUGUUUGUUUAGCCAAAGGGCAAAUUAAGCAUUGACUUAUGCCACAAGUUUUAUUGGAGACAAAAGGAAGUAACAUGGUAACUUUAUGGGAUAGGUGUCCUAGGCGUUGAUGCCAAAAGCUGGAAGGAGUGGUUUAGACGGCAUUGCAUGUUCCUUUCUUUGGUGGAUCAAGAUAGUAGAGUCCCUCCCGUUCAAUUCCCAUCCCAAUCAUCUUCCCUGAGAAUAAGUCCUGUAUGACACAAAAAUGGUUUAAGAAAAUCAUAAUGGAGAGGGAAUCAUAGGUUAAUUUGCUAAUAGAGAUUAAAUUUAACUUUAAAAGUGGAACAUAAAGGACAUUGUCAAGAAUAAGGUUAGGAGAAAAAAUAACUUGGCCAACAUGAGUGACCGUGGUAAUGGAUCCAUUGAGUAACUCAACGGUGUGAUUUCUAAUGGGCCUUGAGGACGUAAGGGAGUCGGGACUGCAAACUAUGUGAUCUGUAGCACCACUAUCCAAGAUCCAAACAUUUUUCUUGCCAUGAUGUAUGAAUGAAAAAGCUUUACCUGAAAGGUCUUCGUGAUGUGAGGAAUUACCAACGUGAUUGGCAAAAGAUGGUUUGUUCUUAUUCAACAUUUGGAGGAUUUGUUUGCAAUCUUCUUCAGAUAAUGGAAAAUUGGACAUCACCUCCUUAUUGGUCACGACAACUUGAUUUCCCUUGGAAGAACGACUUGGUUCGAUUUUUGUGGCUGAUUUUCUUUUGCGGCAAUACUCAUAUGAAUGGCCUUUCCAUCUGCAGAAAGUCCAUUUGAGAUGGGUACGGCAGUUCUUUGUGGUGUGGUUCGUCUUGUUGCACUUUCCACAUCGUAGACCACCUUCUUCGGAUUCCUUCUCUCAACUAGCACCUUUCACAACGAACACAAUAGCUUCUGGUUGGGCAAUGCUCUUUCCUCUUCAAACUUCGGCUUGCCUCUCAUGGCAAAGGACAAGUGAAUAAGCCUUGUUUAUAGUGGGCAAAGGCUCAAGAAGAAGAGUAUUGUUGCGAAUGGUAGAGUAAGAUUCGAUCAAACCCAUGAGAAACUUCAUCGUCUUCUAGGUUUCAAUGUAGGAGGUGAUCUCUUUCUUCGUGUCACAGCCACAAGUCGGGAUAGAACAAAGCAUGUCUCGUUCAUCCCAAAGGCUUUUCAGUUUGGUGAAAUACGAACUUACCGUCAUAUUGCCUUGUAUGUAGUCGUGAAUCUCGUUUUCUAUGUGAAAUAAUUGGACAAUGUUCAUAUGAUAAAACCUUUCUUGCAGGUCAAGCCACAUCUGCUGUGCAUCCUUGCAGUGCAUGACGCUCCCAUAGAUUUCCUUUGACAUGGAACCAAGCAACCACAUUUUCACCAGGUUGUUGCAUCGAUUCCAUUGUUGUAAUUCUUCAAAGUGUUCUUCACUUGGCUUCUUGAUCGCUCCAUCAACAAGCCCUAAUUUGUUUUUGACCGUCAAGGCUAUGGUCAUGGAUUGAGCCCAUGUACCUUAGUUAUCUUCCACAAUAGGCUAUGGCACAAGUAUUGCACCAAGUUGAUUCGAGUGGUGGAGGUAAAGUGGGUGAUUGGGAUUUUCCUACUUUUAAUGCGAAGUCAUGCCUAAAGAGAUUGACUUGUCUGGUUUGUCGCCCAUGGCUAUGUUUGCUAGGGUUUGUGUUUGUUUCUUUGUUUUUUAUUUUCCCAGAUAUCGUUCACUCUGGUACCAUCAUAAGAAGCUUAGAUUUAAGGAAUGAAUUUCCGUAUAUAUUCAUCAAACAAGAAUUACAACUUUAUACAAAGACCACCAUGAUACUAUCCGAUUCUAUUGCCUACAAAUAAGGCUAAUUAACAACUAAACAAGAAAGUAAAUAUCAAUACACGAUAUUGACUAAUUAAUCUAAGAUUUCUUCCUACUUUAAAAAAUAUAUAACAUGCGAAAAUUAUAGAAACGAAAAAGAAAAAGAAGGAAUUUUAACGCAAAGCUUCCAGUACUGUUUACUUUAACGAACCUCAUUUUUAUACUAAAAAGUCAAUCAUGAUACUAUUCACUUUAUCAUUUAUUUGGUCCUUAUCGUUAAAACUUUUUCAUUAGUGUAAAAAAAAAAAAAAAAAAAAAAAAACCCCAAGCCUCAUUAAGUUGAGCAUAUCUUCUUCUUCUUCUCCCCCCCCCUCUCUCUCUCUCUCGCAACCUUUUCUGUUUCUCCACAAAAGCGUUCCCGCAGAGGCUUCGAGAAACCCUACGGAAGCUCUUUGUCUCGCAACCUCCUCUGUUUCUGCACAAAAGCGUUCCCGCAGAGGCUUCGAGAAACCCUACCGAAGCUCUCUCUCUCUCUCUCUCCUCCCUCUCGCUCCUCGCGUCCUCAGACUCUCUGUGGAUCUCCCUCGAGGUACGGUACGCUCCCUUAAACCAUAGACUUUGCAUCGAAUCAGAUCUCUAUGUAAAAAUGUUGUUAGAUCUGAUGUAGAUUUUACUGUUUCCCGAUUUGGACAUUUUACUCUGGGUUUAGCCUCCGUGGGGUUUUAAGUGUUGAACUACCUCACUUUCUGCUUCGAUUCAAUUUUUUGCUUCAAUCUUUUGGGGUGUCUAUAUUUGGGUUUGAGCUAGAUUCGGUGAAUAUAUGAUUACAUUAGUUUGAGCAGAUUCUGGUAAUUAGAUAAUCAUGGGGUAUAUAGACUGCUUGGGUGAUUAGCGUUGGUUGGAAUUUGCAAUUAGGAUCGGUUAUUUUUAAUUUUUUUAAACAUUAUUGUUUUGUAUGUUAUGUAAUUUGAAUGGGGACAGGGGUUUUUAUCCAAGAUUUGCGGAGGUGUAAUUUGUGGUCUUAUUUUUCUGUUUCCUUUAGCUACUGUAUUAUUUAUUUCUGAUACUGUAAUCACCUUGAGGACGGUGAAGAUAUUCAUCGUCCGAUUUUUGGUUGUUUCUAUGAUUGAAUGGUAGUUUCCCUUGUGCUUUGUUUGAACUGGUGUUAUUUAUUUGGAAUUGAGUUUCAGUUGUUUAGUGUAUGUGGGUUCUUGCUUGAUUUGGAAUUUCAGUUUCAGUUGUUUAGUGAAUGUGGAUUCUUACAUGAUUUGGAAUUUUAGUUUCGGUUGUUUACUAAAUUUGGGUCUUAGUUAUUUUCCAGACUUAAAAUUCUGCAAGGAUGAGUGUGGUGGGGUUUGAUUUUGGCAAUGAGAGCGGCAUUGUGGCCGUAGCCAGGCAGAGGGGUAUUGACGUUGUGCUCAAUGAUGAGUCCAAACGUGAAACUCCGGCCCUUGUUUGUUUCGGUGACAAGCAGCGGUUCAUUGGGACAGCUGGGGCUGCUUCCGCAUUGAUGAACCCCAAGAACACAAUUUCCCAGAUUAAACGCUUGAUUGGUAAGCAAUUCUCUGAUCCUGUGUUGCAGAGGGAUAUCAAGUCCUUGCCUUUUGCUGUUUCUGAAGGGCCUGAUGGAUAUCCAUUGAUUCAUGCCCGUUAUUUGGGAGAAGCAAAGACAUUUACACCUACCCAAGUUCUUGGAAUGCUGUUUUCUGAUCUGAAAAUCAUAGCCGAGAAGAAUCUCAAUGCAGCUGUUGUCGAUUGCUGUAUUGGGAUUCCAGUGUAUUUUACUGAUCUCCAACGAAGAGCUGUUAUGGAUGCAGCAAAAAUUGCUGGAUUGAACCCUCUUCGCUUGUUCCAUGAAACUACAGCAACUGCUUUGGCUUAUGGUAUUUACAAGACGGAUUUACCAGAAAAUGACCAAUUGAAUGUUGCCUUUGUUGAUGUUGGGCAUGCUAGCAUGCAAGUUUGCAUUGCUGGUUUCAAGAAAGGGCAGCUGAAAAUAUUGGCUCAUUCCUUUGACCAGUCUUUGGGAGGUAGGGACUUUGAUGAAGUACUGUUCCACCACUUUGCAGCAAAAUUCAAGGAAGAGUACAAAAUUGAUGUUUUACAGAAUGCAAGGGCUUGCCUUCGCCUUCGUACCGCUUGUGAGAAGUUGAAGAAGAUGCUUAGUGCAAAUCCUGUGGUACCUUUGAAUAUAGAGUGUUUAAUGGAAGAGAAGGAUGUUAGGGGAAUUAUUAAGCGGGAUGAAUUUGAGCAGAUUAGUAUUCCUAUUUUGGAACGUGUGAAGGGACCUUUGGAGAAGGCCCUUCUUGAUGCACAGCUUUCAAUAGAGGACAUUCACACAGUUGAGGUUGUCGGUUCAGGCUCUCGUGUUCCUGCUAUAAUCAAGAUAUUGACAGAUUUCUUCAAAAAGGAGCCUAGGCGAACUAUGAAUGC